AACAGCACCUGGCCAAUAUUAUGUAAUAUCAGAAGCAAAUUGAUUAUUACAUGUAUUGGGUAGGAGCUGUUCA
Molecule: microRNA precursor, 73 nt
Organism: Caenorhabditis briggsae
Lineage: Eukaryota; Metazoa; Nematoda; Chromadorea; Rhabditida; Rhabditidae
Rfam family: mir-246 microRNA precursor family
Source: Rfam